AUGUGGGAUGAUAUCUUGAAGGAUGAUGGGGUCAAAUGGAAUAGCUUUUGUGCACCUUUAGAAAAUGAUGCUGAAGGAAGUAGGAUUUUGGUCACCACUAGAUCUCCCGAGGUUUCUAAGCUAGUUGGCCCUAUGAAUAAUUAUGAAUUAAAGGGCUCACAGGAUGAGGUAUUCUGGCAUUUCUUCAAAUAUUGUACAUUUGGUUCCACGAGUUCUUGCAACAACCGGGAGUCAUUGGAGUGCAUUGGUGAAAAAAUUGUUCCAAAGUUGAAGGAUUCUCUUUGUUGGCUGCCAGGACUAUUCGACGCUUGUUGGGAGUGGAGCUAA
RNAcentral lists this ribosomal RNA (327 nucleotides) under Triticum aestivum (bread wheat). RNAcentral's name for it is "partial small subunit ribosomal RNA". The record is from RNAcentral. Lineage: Eukaryota; Viridiplantae; Streptophyta; Magnoliopsida; Poales; Poaceae.